CCUACGGGAGGCAGCAGUGGGGAAUUUUGGACAAUGGGCGCAAGCCUGAUCCAGCAAUGCCGCGUGAGUGAAGAAGGCCUUCGGGUUGUAAAGCUCUUUUGUCAGGGAAGAAAAGGGUGCGGCUAAUAUCUGCGCCUCAUGACGGUACCUGAAGAAUAAGCACCGGCUAACUACGUGCCAGCAGCCGCGGUAAUACGUAGGGUGCAAGCGUUAAUCGGAAUUACUGGGCGUAAAGCGUGCGCAGGCGGUUUUGUAAGACUGUCGUGAAAUCCCCGGGCUCAACCUGGGAAUGGCGAUGGUGACUGCAAGGCUAGAGUUUGGCAGAGGGGGGUAGAAUUCCACGUGUAGCAGUGAAAUGCGUAGAUAUGUGGAGGAACACCGAUGGCGAAGGCAGCCCCCUGGGUCAAAACUGACGCUCAUGCACGAAAGCGUGGGGAGCAAACAGGAUUAGAUACCCUGGUAGUCCACGCCCUAAACGAUGUCUACUAGUUGUCGGGUCUUAAUUGACUUGGUAACGCAGCUAACGCGUGAAGUAGACCGCCUGGGGAGUACGGUCGCAAGAUUAAAACUCAAAGGAUUGACGG
RNAcentral lists this ribosomal RNA (584 nucleotides) under uncultured bacterium. RNAcentral's name for it is "bacterial SSU rRNA". It matches the Rfam family "Bacterial small subunit ribosomal RNA", at positions 338 to 916 of the family's 1533-position model. The record is from RNAcentral.